GAAGCCUUAGUUUAGUUAAAACGUUGGAUUGUCAGAUCAAAAAUGGGGAAGAAAAAUCCCUAGGCUUUG
Molecule: transfer RNA, 69 nt
Filed under: Thelenota ananas
Lineage: Eukaryota; Metazoa; Echinodermata; Holothuroidea; Aspidochirotida; Stichopodidae
Description: tRNA-Asp
Rfam family: tRNA
About the family: Transfer RNA (tRNA) molecules are approximately 80 nucleotides in length. Their secondary structure includes four short double-helical elements and three loops (D, anti-codon, and T loops).
Source: RNAcentral